RNAcentral lists this transfer RNA (72 nucleotides) under Planctomycetaceae bacterium. RNAcentral describes it as "tRNA-Glu". It matches the Rfam family "tRNA". Rfam says of the family: Transfer RNA (tRNA) molecules are approximately 80 nucleotides in length. Their secondary structure includes four short double-helical elements and three loops (D, anti-codon, and T loops). The record is from RNAcentral. Lineage: Bacteria; Pseudomonadati; Planctomycetota; Planctomycetia; Planctomycetales; Planctomycetaceae.
GGCCCGUUCGACUUCUGGUGAGGUUACCGGUCUUUCACGCCGGUCAGGUGGGUUCGAAUCCCACACGGGUCA